CAUGUACCAUGCCAGAUGGCAAAACAAACAAUGGCUUUCUCUUAAGCACUUCAUUCACGGGCAGAUCAAAAGCUGUAUCACCUUCAGACUCCUCAAACUCCAAUUGUGCGCACAAAAACAUAUACAAAAUACUGCCUGGAUAAUUAUCCUUCAGGAACUAAUGCAAUAGUAGCUGUGCUUGCAUACACAGGAUACGACAUGGAGGAUGCCAUGAUUUUAAACAAGUCAUCUGUUGAACGUGGGAUGUGUCAUGGAAAAAUAUACCAGACGGAAACAUCGACUGUGUGAUGGUAAGAGCCAGUCAGAUCGAGGACAAACAAUUUUUAAAAGAGAACAUUCAGAUAAAGCAAUAUCUUCUUUUGUUGAUUCGGAUGGACUUCCAUAUAUUGGGCAGGUUAUACAUGGAAAUGAACCUUACUGCAGUACCAUUAAUCAGGUGACAAAUUCAAAGAGAACCUACACCCGUAAGGGUUCAGAAGUGGCUAUUGUGGACUAUGUUGCGUUGAUACGAAAAUAAGCAGCA
Molecule: long non-coding RNA, 523 nt
Organism: Hibiscus syriacus
Lineage: Eukaryota; Viridiplantae; Streptophyta; Magnoliopsida; Malvales; Malvaceae
Exons: 6
Source: RefSeq, a predicted model, not a curated record